RNAcentral lists this ribosomal RNA (539 nucleotides) under uncultured bacterium. Its description in RNAcentral is "bacterial SSU rRNA". It matches the Rfam family "Bacterial small subunit ribosomal RNA", at positions 772 to 1308 of the family's 1533-position model. The record is from RNAcentral.
ACUCAAUAGAUACCCCGGUAGUCCACGCCCUAAACGAUGGAUACUAGGCGUGGGAGGUAUCGACCCCUCCCGUGCCGCAGCCAAACGCACUAAGUAUCCCGCCUGGGGAGUACGGCCGCAAGGUUGAAACUCAAAUGAAUUGACGGGGACCCGCACAAGCGGUGGAGCAUGUGGAUUAAUUCGAUACUAACCGAAGAACCUUACCCAGACUUGACAUCGAAGGAAAGGCCCUGAAAGGGGUCCCCCUCCCACAAGGAGGCCUGAAGACACUUGUUGCAUGGCUGUCGUCAGCUCGUGCCGUGAGGUGUACGGUUAAGUCCGCCAACGAGCGCAACCCACGUCCUGUGUUACCAGCGAGAGAGUCGGGGCACUCACAGGAGACCGCCGGUGUAAGCCGGAGGAAGGUGUGGAUGACGUCAAGUCAGCAUGGCAGUUACGUCUGGGGCUUCACACAUGCUACAAUGGGCGCAACAAAGGGCCGCGAUACCGCGAGGUGGAGCCAAUCCCAAAAAUACGCCCCAGUUCAGAUUGCAGUCUGC